CUAGGAUGAAAUUUGAAAAAAAAAGGCAGGACAGGAUUUUGAGUAAAAAAAAAGGCAGGAUGAGUAACUUGGCAAAAAAAAAAAAGGCAGGAUGACAAUUGUUGUAAAAAAGUCAGGAUAAGCUAAGAAAAAAAGAGGCAGGACCGAAUAGACUGAAAAAUAAAAAGGCAGGACAGAGAUUACAACUAAAAAAAAAAGGCAGGACAAAAUUUUUCAUCCUAGCCCCC
Molecule: long non-coding RNA, 227 nt
Filed under: Mytilus galloprovincialis (Mediterranean mussel)
Lineage: Eukaryota; Metazoa; Mollusca; Bivalvia; Mytilida; Mytilidae
Source: RNAcentral